CCUACGGGCGGCAGCAGUGGGGAAUAUUGGACAAUGGGGGCAACCCUGAUCCAGCCAUGCCGCGUGUGUGAAGAAGGCCCUCGGGUUGUAAAGCACUUUCAGUGAGGAAGAACGCCUGGUGGUUAAUACCCAUCAGGAAAGACAUCACUCACAGAAGAAGCACCGGCUAACUCCGUGCCAGCAGCCGCGGUAAUACGGAGGGUGCGAGCGUUAAUCGGAAUUACUGGGCGUAAAGCGCGCGUAGGUGGCUUGAUAAGCCGGUUGUGAAAGCCCCGGGCUCAACCUGGGAACGGCAUCCGGAACUGUCAAGCUAGAGUGCAGGAGAGGAAGGUAGAAUUCCCGGUGUAGCGGUGAAAUGCGUAGAGAUCGGGAGGAAUACCAGUGGCGAAGGCGGCCUUCUGGACUGACACUGACACUGAGGUGCGAAAGCGUGGGUAGCAAACAGGAUUAGAUACCCUUGUAUC
This 464-nucleotide ribosomal RNA is filed under the name Vreelandella stevensii. RNAcentral's name for it is "partial 16S ribosomal RNA". It matches the Rfam family "Bacterial small subunit ribosomal RNA", at positions 338 to 794 of the family's 1533-position model. The record is from RNAcentral. Lineage: Bacteria; Pseudomonadati; Pseudomonadota; Gammaproteobacteria; Oceanospirillales; Halomonadaceae.